Acanthosepion pharaonis is the source of this 111-nucleotide non-coding RNA. Lineage: Eukaryota; Metazoa; Mollusca; Cephalopoda; Sepiida; Sepiidae. The record is from the annotation of a GenBank genome assembly.
CGGACACAUCACUUUGAUUCACCGGUUUCCGUACGAUCGCUAAAGUUAAGCAAUGCCGAGCCUAGUUAAUACCUAGAUGGGUGACCACUUGAGAGUACCAGGUGCUGCAAG